AAGACUAUACUUUCAGGAAUCAUUUCUAUAGUUCGUUACUAGAGAAGUCUCUCUGAACGUGUAGAGCACCUUGUGAAACCACAAGGAGGAGGCGCAGCGUUCUCUCCUGAGCGUGCAGCCGGCUCUUGGUGUUGCUUUAGUGCGAUUGCCAUUUGCCAUUGAUGAUCGUUCUUCUCUCCCUUUGGGAGAGUAAGAAGGAGAGGAAAAAAAAAAGAUUUUGUGA
This is a small nucleolar RNA of Otolemur garnettii (small-eared galago), 223 nucleotides long. Its record names the gene U3. It matches the Rfam family "Small nucleolar RNA U3". From Rfam's summary of the family: Small nucleolar RNAs (snoRNAs) are involved in the processing and modification of rRNA in the nucleolus. There are two main classes of snoRNAs: the box C/D class, and the box H/ACA class. NCBI's taxonomy places the organism in Eukaryota, Metazoa, Chordata, Mammalia, Primates, Galagidae. The record is from Ensembl.